CGCGACAUGACAGUUUCUGAUGGUCGAGAGUUCGACGAAGGUCCGUUUGUUUAAGAUUUUGUUCAGUGGCAGUCCAACAACACGUCUACAUGCUAUUCUUCUGAAGCUGGAUGUGUUACGACCUUCGUAGCACUUAGGGCGCCUGCCGGUGAACGAGGAAUGUUUGCGAAAUUUUGCGAAGCCCUACCGCAUGUUAUUGGCCCGAUAAUGGGAACGCCUGGUAACCGGCCUCGAUUACCAGGCUAUAAGGUUACUGGGCUGUUAACGGGCUAGGGUCGUUAAUCGGCCAGUUACCCGUAAUCAGGCUCCAUUACCAGGGUGGUUUACCAGGGUCGUUUAUCGGGCGGCCAGUUACAAGGCUAGGGUCGGUAAUCGGUCAGUUACCCGGUAAUCAGGCAGCAUUAUCGGGUGUUUACCAGGUCGUUUAUCAGGCGGCCAGUUACAAGAAUGUCCCCGGUAAUGGGGCAAUAACAUAGAUAUUAUCAGGACGUUAACCGACCAUUACGCAUUAAACAGCGAUUACCAGCUUCAUAGCGGGUUCAUAUUAUCCUACACAAAGCAUUGCCCAAUGGCCUACUACAACCUGCUCACAUCUCUCAAUCGGUACCACGAGGACUAUAGGCCCUUCUUUACUCAACAUUAAGAAUCACUUGAAACUACAGGCGCCCUCCAGGUUCCUGAUCACUGCCCGCGGUCUGCUACCUCCGCUGCUUCUUCAGCCCCCCCUUCCGAAUCUCUGCCAUGGCUCCCUUCUUGCCCUUCUCCUGCUGCACCUUAGCCCCGCGGGUCUGUACAGCUCGGCCUUUACCGACACCAAACGAUUCCUUCCUCUUUGCGGGGUUUGACGCUGUGGCCCCGAAAGCCGAAGGGUCCUCCGGCAACACCAGUGGGGUUUCCUUAGGGCGUGGACGCUUGGUUCGAGCAGGCACCACCAUGGCCACCGUUUCUUGGCUCUCCCGAGCCUUAGCCGAGGGUUGCCUCAGGCGCGUGGGCCGCCCUCUGGCAUCCAAUGCCCCUACAAAAAGUGAGAGUGAUUCAUAAAUUAAUUUUUAUGUGUAGUCGUAAUUUAUUGCCUUGUUGUUAGUAAGUUCCGUGUGUAGUCGUAAUUUAUUGUCAUGUUGAAGCUACAAUUUACCUUUGUCAGGUUUUCCGGUCACCAGGACCUUGCGGCGCC
This 1174-nucleotide long non-coding RNA is filed under the name Volvox carteri. RNAcentral describes it as "long non-coding RNA (VCAR_LNC004298)". Lineage: Eukaryota; Viridiplantae; Chlorophyta; Chlorophyceae; Chlamydomonadales; Volvocaceae. The record is from RNAcentral.